AGCAGCCGCGGUAAUUCCAGCUCCAAUAGCGUAUAUUAAAGUUGUUGCAGUUAAAAAGCUCGUAGUUGAAUUUCGGGAUUAGUACGCUGGUCGUGCCUUCGGUAUGUACUGGUGUUACUGGUUCCUACCUUCUGACGAACCGUCAUGUCAUUAAUUUGGUGUGGCGGGAAAUCAGGACUGUUACUUUGAAAAAAUUAGAGUGUUUAAAGCAGGCUCGCGCUUGAAUACAUUAGCAUGGAAUAAUGAAAUAGGACGUUCGAUCCUAUUUUGUUGGUUUCUAGGAUUGACGUAAUGAUUAAUAGGGAUAGUUGGGGGCAUUAGUAUUCAAUUGUCAGAGGUGAAAUUCUUGGAUUUAUUGAAGACUAACUACUGCGAAAGCAUUUGCCAAGGAUGUUUUCAUUAAUCAAGAACGAAAGUUAGGGGAUCGAAGACGAUCAGAUACCGUCGUAGUCUUAACCAUAAACUAUGCCGACUAGGGAUCGGAUGAUGUUAUUUUAAUGACUCAUUCGGCGCCUUACGG
Molecule: ribosomal RNA, 520 nt
Filed under: uncultured Glomus
Lineage: Eukaryota; Fungi; Glomeromycota; Glomeromycetes; Glomerales; Glomeraceae
Description: SSU rRNA
Rfam family: Eukaryotic small subunit ribosomal RNA
Source: RNAcentral